CCUACGGGAGGCACCAGUGGGGAAUAUUGCACAAUGGGCGCAAGCCUGAUGCAGCCAUGCCGCGUGUAUGAAGAAGGCCUUCGGGUUGUAAAGUACUCUCAGCGGGGAGGAAGGCGAUAAGGUUAAUAACCUUGUCGAUUGACGUUACCCGCAGAAGAAGCACCGGCUAACUCCGUGCCAGCAGCCGCGGUAAUACGGAGGGUGCAAGCGUUAAUCGGAAUUACUGGGCGUAAAGCGCACGCAGGCGGUCUGUCAAGUUGGAUGUGGAAUCCCCGGGCUCAACCUGGGAACUGCGUUCGAAACUGGCAGGCUGGAGUCUUGUAGAGGGGGGUAGAAUUCCAGGUGUAGCGGUGAAAUGCGUAGAGAUCUGGAGGAAUACCGGUGGCGAAGGCGGCCCCCUGGACAAAGACUGACGCUCAGGUGCGAAAGCGUGGGGAGCAAACAGGAUUAGAUACCCCAGUAGUC
Molecule: ribosomal RNA, 465 nt
Filed under: uncultured bacterium
Lineage: Bacteria
Description: bacterial SSU rRNA
Rfam family: Bacterial small subunit ribosomal RNA
Source: RNAcentral